RNAcentral lists this ribosomal RNA (426 nucleotides) under uncultured Chlamydiae bacterium. RNAcentral describes it as "bacterial SSU rRNA". It matches the Rfam family "Bacterial small subunit ribosomal RNA", at positions 958 to 1385 of the family's 1533-position model. The record is from RNAcentral. Lineage: Bacteria; Pseudomonadati; Chlamydiota; Chlamydiia.
AACGCGAAGAACCUUACCCAGACUUGACAUACAGUAGACGAUAUCAGAAAUGAUAUUUCCCGCAAGGGCUGCUGUACAGGUGCUGCAUGGCUGUCGUCAGCUCGUGCCGUGAGGUGUUGGGUUAAGUCCCGCAACGAGCGCAACCCUUAUCAUUAGUUGCCAACACGUAAGGUGGGGACUCUAAUGAGACUGCCUAGGUUAACUAGGAGGAAGGUGAGGAUGACGUCAAGUCCGCAUGGCCUUUAUGUCUGGGGCUACACACGUGCUACAAUGGUCGGUACAGAAGGCAGCGAAAUCGCAAGAUGGAGCAAAUCCCAAAAGCCGAUCUCAGUUCAGAUUGUAGUCUGCAACUCGACUACAUGAAGUUGGAAUUGCUAGUAAUGGCGUGUCAGCAACAGCGCCGUGAAUACGUUCCCGGGCCUUGUA